UUGAAGAGAAAACAAAAUUAAUUUUGUUAUAAUAGCAGUUUAUUAAGAAUAUGCAAACAUUUUCUUGUCAGUAAUGCGUAAUUAUUCGUGUUUUAUUGCAGAUUGUUUACAAUUGACCGUUGAUCCAGCUCAUGAAGGAGGUGACUCUGGCGAAAGCAGCGGGGGAACCGACCUGGCAACCGCGGGCAGAUCCGAAGGAAGUGACACCGAUC
Molecule: long non-coding RNA, 212 nt
Organism: Spodoptera frugiperda (fall armyworm)
Lineage: Eukaryota; Metazoa; Arthropoda; Insecta; Lepidoptera; Noctuidae
Exons: 2
Source: RefSeq, a predicted model, not a curated record